Small nucleolar RNA from Oryctolagus cuniculus (rabbit), 194 nucleotides. Its record names the gene U3. It matches the Rfam family "Small nucleolar RNA U3". From Rfam's summary of the family: Small nucleolar RNAs (snoRNAs) are involved in the processing and modification of rRNA in the nucleolus. There are two main classes of snoRNAs: the box C/D class, and the box H/ACA class. U3 snoRNA is a member of the box C/D class. NCBI's taxonomy places the organism in Eukaryota, Metazoa, Chordata, Mammalia, Lagomorpha, Leporidae. The record is from Ensembl.
GAGACUACACUUUAAGGGAUCACUUCUGUACUUCACUCCUAUAGAAGUUUCUCUGCUUGUGUAAAGCACUGGAAAUCACGAGUGGAAGGUGCCGCAUUCUCUCGAGUGUGAAGCCAGCUCUUGGCCUUGCUUUGCUGCCAUUUGCCAUUGACGGUGGGGGGAGAAUAAGAGGGAGAAAACGCAGUCUGAGUGGC